GAUGAACGCUGGCGGCGUGCCUAAUACAUGCAAGUCGAGCGAACAGAUGAGGAGCUUGCUCCUCUGACGUUAGCGGCGGACGGGUGAGUAACACGUGGAUAACCUACCUAUAAGACUGGGAUAACUUCGGGAAACCGGAGCUAAUACCGGAUAAUAUAUUGAACCGCAUGGUUCAAUAGUGAAAGACGGUUUUGCUGUCACUUAUAGAUGGAUCCGCGCCGCAUUAGCUAGUUGGUAAGGUAACGGCUUACCAAGGCGACGAUGCGUAGCCGACCUGAGAGGGUGAUCGGCCACACUGGAACUGAGACACGGUCCAGACUCCUACGGGAGGCAGCAGUAGGGAAUCUUCCGCAAUGGGCGAAAGCCUGACGGAGCAACGCCGCGUGAGUGAUGAAGGUCUUCGGAUCGUAAAACUCUGUUAUUAGGGAAGAACAAAGGUGUAAGUAACUAUGCACGUCUUGACGGUACCUAAUCAGAAAGCCACGGCUAACUACGUG
RNAcentral lists this ribosomal RNA (497 nucleotides) under uncultured bacterium. RNAcentral's name for it is "partial 16S ribosomal RNA". It matches the Rfam family "Bacterial small subunit ribosomal RNA", at positions 28 to 507 of the family's 1533-position model. The record is from RNAcentral.